RNAcentral lists this ribosomal RNA (450 nucleotides) under uncultured bacterium. RNAcentral describes it as "SSU rRNA". It matches the Rfam family "Bacterial small subunit ribosomal RNA", at positions 26 to 518 of the family's 1533-position model. The record is from RNAcentral.
AGAACGAACGCUGGCGGCAGGCUUAACACAUGCAAGUCGAACGGUUGUAGCAAUACAGCAGUGGCAGACGGGUGAGUAACACGUGGGAACCUUCCUAGGGGUACGGAACAACUCAGGGAAACUUGAGCUAAUACCGUAUACGUCCGUGAGGAGAAAGUUUUAACGCCCCUAGACGGGCCCGCGUAGGAUUAGGUAGUUGGUGAGGUAACGGCUCACCAAGCCUACGAUCCUUAGCUGAUCUGAGAGGAUGAUCAGCCACACUGGGACUGAGACACGGCCCAGACUCCUACGGGAGGCAGCAGUGGGGAAUAUUGCACAAUGGGCGGAAGCCUGAUGCAGCGACGCCGCGUGAGGGAUGACGGCCUUCGGGUUGUAAACCUCUUUCGCCAGGGACGAAGCGCAGUGACGGUACCUGGAGAGAGCGCCGGCAACGUACGUGCCAGCAGCCGC